AACGAACGCUGGCGGCAUGCCUAACACAUGCAAGUCGAACGAGACCUUCGGGUCUAGUGGCGCACGGGUGCGUAACGCGUGGGAACCUGCCCUUAGGUUCGGAAUAACUCCCCGAAAGGGGUGCUAAUACCGGAUAAUGUCUUCGGACCAAAGAUUUAUCGCCUUUGGAUGGGCCCGCGUUGGAUUAGCUAGUUGGUAGGGUAAAAGCCUACCAAGGCGACGAUCCAUAGCUGGUCUGAGAGGAUGAUCAGCCACACUGGGACUGAGACACGGCCCAGACGCGUACGGGAGGCAGCAGUGGGGAAUAUUGGACAAUGGGCGAAAGCCUGAUCCAGCAAGGCCGCGUGAGUGAUGAAGGCCUUAGGGUUGUAAAGCUCUUUUACCCGGGAUGAUAAUGACAGUACCGGGAGAAUAAGCUCCGGCUAACUCCGU
This 432-nucleotide ribosomal RNA is filed under the name uncultured bacterium. RNAcentral's name for it is "partial 16S ribosomal RNA". It matches the Rfam family "Bacterial small subunit ribosomal RNA", at positions 29 to 506 of the family's 1533-position model. The record is from RNAcentral.